RNAcentral lists this ribosomal RNA (591 nucleotides) under uncultured bacterium. RNAcentral's name for it is "bacterial SSU rRNA". It matches the Rfam family "Bacterial small subunit ribosomal RNA", at positions 338 to 917 of the family's 1533-position model. The record is from RNAcentral.
CCUACGGGAGGCAGCAGUGGGGAAUUUUGGACAAUGGGCGAAAGCCUGAUCCAGCAAUGCCGCGUGAGUGAAGAAGGCCUUCGGGUUGUAAAGCUCUUUUGUCAGGGAAGAAACGGUGAGAGCUAAUAUCUCUUGCUAAUGACGGUACCUGAAGAAUAAGCACUGGCUAACUACGUGCCAGCAGCCGCGGUAAUACGUAGGGUGCAAGCGUUAAUCGGAAUUACUGGGCGUAAAGCGUGCGCAGGCGGUUUUGUAAGUCUGAUGUGAAAUCCCCGGGCUCAACCUGGGAAUUGCAUUGGAGACUGCAAGGCUAGAAUCUGGCAGAGGGGGGUAGAAUUCCACGUGUAGCAGUGAAAUGCGUAGAUAUGUGGAGGAACACCGAUGGCGAAGGCAGCCCCCUGGGUCAAGAUUGACGCUCAUGCACGAAAGCGUGGGGAGCAAACAGGAUUAGAUACCCUGGUAGUCCACGCCCUAAACGAUGUCUACUAGUUGUCGGGUCUUAAUUGACUUGGUAACGCAGCUAACGCGUGAAGUAGACCGCCUGGGGAGUACGGUCGCAAAGAUUAAAAACGUCAAAAUGAAAUUGACCGG